RNAcentral lists this ribosomal RNA (499 nucleotides) under uncultured bacterium. RNAcentral describes it as "partial 16S ribosomal RNA". It matches the Rfam family "Bacterial small subunit ribosomal RNA", at positions 899 to 1397 of the family's 1533-position model. The record is from RNAcentral.
ACUCAAAGGAAUUGACGGGGGCCCGCACAAGCGGUGGAUCAUGUGGUUUAAUUCGAAGCAACGCGAAGAACCUUACCUAGGUUUGACAUCCUAUGGACUGCCUGCGAAAUCAGGCUUCGGUAGCAAUACCGCUGUAGGACCGGUGCUGCAUGGCUGUCGUCAGCUCGUGUGGUGACAUGUUGGGUUAAGUCCCGCAACGAGCGCAACCCCUGUCCUUAGUUGCCUACAUUUAGUUGGGAACUCUAAGGAGACUGCCGUGGUAACACGGAGGAAGGUGGGGAUGACGUCAAGUCCUCAUGGCCCUUAUGCCUAGGGCGACACACGUGAUACAAUGGCCGGUACAGAGGGCUGCGAAAGAGCGAUCUGGAGCCAAUCCCAAAAAGCCGGUCUCAGUUCGGAUUGGAGUCUGCAACUCGACUCCAUGAAGCUGGAAUCGCUAGUAAUCGCGGAUCAGCACGCCGCGGUGAAUACGUUCCCGGGCCUUGCACACACCGCCCGU